Molecule: transfer RNA, 73 nt
Filed under: Ruminiclostridium hungatei
Lineage: Bacteria; Bacillati; Bacillota; Clostridia; Eubacteriales; Oscillospiraceae
Also listed under: 1 other name
Description: Clostridium hungatei tRNA
Rfam family: tRNA
About the family: Transfer RNA (tRNA) molecules are approximately 80 nucleotides in length. Their secondary structure includes four short double-helical elements and three loops (D, anti-codon, and T loops).
Source: Rfam by way of RNAcentral
GGGGGUGUAGCUCACCUGGGAGAGCGCUUGACUGGCAGUCAAGAGGUAAAGGGUUCGAUCCCCUUCAUCUCCA